RNAcentral lists this unclassified non-coding RNA (200 nucleotides) under Rinodina sp. RNAcentral's name for it is "partial internal transcribed spacer 2". The record is from RNAcentral. Lineage: Eukaryota; Fungi; Ascomycota; Lecanoromycetes; Caliciales; Physciaceae.
UUAAGUUCAGCGGGUAUCCCUACCUGAUCCGAGGUCAACCAUUGAAAAAACAUGUGGUUGUUUGGCUGGGACGCAGCGAGAAGCUUCCAAAGCGGGAUUGAAAAUCUUGCUACGCUUGAAGUCUCACUGGACCGCCACCGAUUUCCGGGUUCGUCGCGGGGACGGGACCCAAUACCAAGCAAUGCUUGAGGGUUGCAAUG